UUUACAUAGCUGCAGACUAUGCGAAAUACGUCGGACCGUCGGACAAAUCCGGUGAAUAAUGGAUCGGUCUGGUAAAAUUUUGUUGAAUUCCGGUCCGAAUGUCCGGUGUUUUUUUUCAUGGAACAUUCUAGCAAAAUUGCCAAACGAUCUCAAAUUCAUUUUCAUCUUUAUUAUUCACCACAGCGAUGUUUAUUUUGUUCAACCGCUAGCUUUAUGCCGAACAUCGACAACCAGUAAUGUGUAAAUCCGGGUAAAAACAUAUCUGACUGUCAAAAACAACAAUGGAUGCCAUCAUUGGCACAACCGGAAAUGUAAAUAAAACCGAUCAGAUUCUGGGAACGGAUAAGGAUAAUUCCGGGUUUGCCGAUUUAAAUACAAUAAAUGAAUAAACAUCCAAGCAGAUCACAAAAUUUAGCUAUGAAAUAUAACCACAAGAAUUGAAAACCAAAAGAUAUAUGAAAAAGAAAGAAGAAACAGGAAAUAAUAUUUUAUACAGAAACUCUAUUAAAUUAUGUUUAGUUCACAAACAUUGUCAAAAUCCAAUAAAAUGGGACAUUACUCUUCACUGAAAUGCAUUCAAGCAAUUGUGCACAACUUUCAUAACAAUAUCCCCUCUUGUUACAUCAUUUUGUUUUAAUUUUUGCAUUUCGGGGAGGAGUAGGGCACAACAAAGUCAUAUGUUUGUUGUUUUUUGUCGGAUAAUAUACAAUUAGAUGUAAAAAAAAAUUGGUCUGGUAAAAUUUCAUUCGGUCUGGUAAAGCUAGGAUGCUUACCAGACCGAAUGUCCUGUAAAAAUAAAAUUCAUUCGCGUAGUCUGAUAGC
This 822-nucleotide long non-coding RNA is filed under the name Mytilus galloprovincialis (Mediterranean mussel). The record is from RNAcentral. Lineage: Eukaryota; Metazoa; Mollusca; Bivalvia; Mytilida; Mytilidae.